Molecule: ribosomal RNA, 434 nt
Filed under: uncultured Oscillospiraceae bacterium
Lineage: Bacteria; Bacillati; Bacillota; Clostridia; Eubacteriales; Oscillospiraceae
Description: bacterial SSU rRNA
Rfam family: Bacterial small subunit ribosomal RNA
Source: RNAcentral
ACGGGAGGCAGCAGUGGGGAAUAUUGGGCAAUGGGCGCAAGCCUGACCCAGCAAUGCCGCGUGAAGGAAGAAGGCUUUCGGGUUGUAAACUUCUUUUAAGUGGGACGAUAAUGACGGUACCACUUGAGUAAGCUCCGGCUAACUACGUGCCAGCAGCCGCGGUAAUACGUAGGGAGCAAGCGUUAUCCGGAUUUACUGGGUGUAAAGGGCGUGUAGGCGGGACUGCAAGUCAGAUGUGAAAGCACAGGGCUCAACUCUGUGUCUGCAUUUGAAACUGUAGUUCUUGAGUGUUGGAGAGGCUAACGGAACUCCUAGUGUAGCGGUGAAAUGCGUAGAUAUUAGGAAGAACACCAGUGGCGAAGGCGGUUAGCUGGACAAUAACUGACGCUGAGGCGCGAAAGCGUGGGUAGCAAACAGGAUUAGAUACCCUGGUA